Molecule: small RNA, 2067 nt
Filed under: Rattus norvegicus (Norway rat)
Lineage: Eukaryota; Metazoa; Chordata; Mammalia; Rodentia; Muridae
Description: uncharacterized LOC100909946
Source: RNAcentral
CACCAUGGGGAAACUUUCAGAAUUUCCUUUCUAUUUAUGUAGAUGGAUAAACCUUAGAAGAAUAGCUAAAGACUUCCCAAAAGUACCCACAAGGACAGGUCAGAUUUUACUAGCUCAAAUGAUAAGAGUAGGCUUUGUGGAAGCUAUAGGAGUUUUUGUUUGAUUUCUUUUGAAACAAGAGGCUUAUGUAGCCCAGGCUGGCCUUAACAUUGCAUUUUUCAAAUUAUGUUUUUAGUCCUCCUGAGUACUGAGAUUACAGGGUCAUGUCACUGUACCUGGGAUAUGGUUUGGUUUUGUUUGUUUGCUUUGGUAUUUUUCUGAGACAGGGUCUCACUUUGUGACUCUGUCCUGGCUCUCACCAUGAACGCUGGCCUUGAUCUCACAAAGGUCUGCUUGCCUCUGCCUCACAAGUGCUGGGGCCCAGCACCAAACCUGCUUUUGCAGUGCAGUGACUGAACUCAGGCUUGCUAGGUUAGCCCUCUCCCCAAGGAUACACGGAGGGAUGAUCUCUUGUGCGCUGAGUGGAAGAACCAGCUGUCAGUAAGAAGCUGAGUGGCCAACAAGCUGAGGCCGGAUUAAAAGGUGGGACAUACACUAGAGAGAUUGGGAUUCUGGGGGUAAAGUCAGAGGCACAGAGAUUCACCCCUAAACAAUGAGGAAGAUGGUCACUUGUAAUGAAGGACGUUGGCAUGUGUCUAUUUAGAGUAAAAUAAACGGGCAAUUAAAUUCUGAGCUAGUCAGGGAACAAGCCAAGGCUAUCAUUUAACUACCCCUCUGUUUCAAACAGUACUGCUUCUAUAGCCAGACAGAACUGGCAUCUGGCCUUUUCUAGAUUCUACAGGAAUUCCCCCUUUCUUCUGAUGAAAUUUUUUCAUUGUCUCCCCUGUUUUUCCACACCCACAUAGUUCCCCAUUCGGUACACAGUGUCUUUAACCUUAACAACCAGAGCACUGAAAACCUAAAGCCAGUCUCAGUUUCAUUUCUGGAGCAAGUCAUGAGAUCAUCAAAGUACCUGCUUAAAAUAGCAACGGUUUCAGAAAAGGAGACCGGUCUAGAGACAGAAUCACUUUAGGCCUUUCGGUGGUAACACACUUGAUAUCUGUAUUUCCAAAAUGGCUGAAAGUGCUAAAGAGGCUCUAAGGUCCUGGGGCUCCACAGGUCUCCUUGCCUAGAUUGCAGCAGAGGCAACUUGGUGGUCAAACACUGUUUAGACAUGAGUGUGUGACUCAGAACUGGCACUAGAACGCAAAAGGGAUGGAUGAAUAAGUUACACAUAACAGUGCCAGGAAAUGAUCUCACCACCACCCCUCCUGGAAGACUGGGUUUCUCUUCCUGAAGCCCUGGAACUUACUCUGUAGACCAUGUUGGCCUCAAACUCCGAGAUCUACCUGCCUCCACCCCCUAAAGGGCUAGCACCCCAUGAAGAAACGACCUGCAUUCAGUGUUGAGUUCCCUUCACUCUGACCCACUCCUUGGCAUGAUUCCUAAUGGAUCCCCGUCCCCACAAUGCAUGCGCAAGUGCGUGCAUGCGUGCGUGGACGACUGAAUAUUACUCGGCUUCAAGAAAGAGAAGACUCUGCCACUUGCUACAUGGAUAAAAUGAAAGGAAAUUAUGUGAAAUGAAAGAUGAAAAAUAUAGGAAAAUUUUUGCAUGAUCUCAUUUAUACGCAGACUUUUUUUUAAAGGUUCUAUACCGAGGCAGGGAAUCAACAGUGGUUUCCUGGGCCCAGGGUGAGACAGGAAAUGGGCAGGUCAAAGGAUAUAAAGCAACAGUUAGGCUGGGUGAGUGAAAGACUAAACCACAUCAGAGAACUAUAGUUGGCUAAUUGUUCUCCCGACUUUUUGCUCUACGUGUUUUGUGCUGGAAAUUUUUGCUGAAAUUGAGUUGUAUUUAGGAUUUCUGUUCUAAGAGUAGAUUUAGAACUACUCUUGCCACAGAGGGGAAAAUGGGUAGCUAAGUGGGACAACUGACCUGUUCAUCUGUCCUACCGCAGAAGCAACUAUCUUAACAGAUUCUGUACUUUAAAUAUGCACCAGAACAUUUAAAUAAAAAGAGGUCUUUGUAAA